This 908-nucleotide ribosomal RNA is filed under the name uncultured bacterium. RNAcentral's name for it is "bacterial SSU rRNA". It matches the Rfam family "Bacterial small subunit ribosomal RNA", at positions 33 to 932 of the family's 1533-position model. The record is from RNAcentral.
ACGCUGGCGGCAGGCUUAACACAUGCAAGUCGAACGGUAACAGGGAUUAGCUUGCUAAUCUGCUGACGAGUGGCGGACGGGUGAGUAAUGCUUGGGAAUCUGGCUUAUGGAGGGGGAUAACUACGGGAAACUGUAGCUAAUACCGCGUAAAAUCUUCGGAUUAAAGGGUGGGACUUUCGAGCCACCUGCCAUAAGAUGAGCCCAAGUGGGAUUAGGUAGUUGGUUAGGUAAAGGCUGACCAAGCCGACGAUCUCUAGCUGGUCUGAGAGGAUGACCAGCCACACUGGAACUGAGACACGGUCCAGACUCCUACGGGAGGCAGCAGUGGGGAAUAUUGCACAAUGGGGGGAACCCUGAUGCAGCCAUGCCGCGUGAAUGAAGAAGGCCUUCGGGUUGUAAAGUUCUUUCGGUGACGAGGAAGGUUGAUAGGUUAAUAGCCUAUCAAAUUGACGUUAAUCACAGAAGAAGCACCGGCUAACUCCGUGCCAGCAGCCGCGGUAAUACGGGGGGUGCGAGCGUUAAUCGGAAUAACUGGGCGUAAAGGGCACGCAGGCGGUGACUUAAGUGAGAUGUGAAAGCCCCGAGCUUAACUUGGGAAUUGCAUUUCAUACUGGGUCGCUGGAGUACUUUAGGGAGGGGUAGAAUUCCACGUGUAGCGGUGAAAUGCGUAGAGAUGUGGAGGAAUACCGAAGGCGAAGGCAGCCCCUUGGGAAUGUACUGACGCUCAUGUGCGAAAGCGUGGGGAGCAAACAGGAUUAGAUACCCUGGUAGUCCACGCUGUAAACGAUGUCGAUUUGGGGAUUGGGCUUUGAGCUUGGUGCCCGUAGCUAACGUGAUAAAUCGACCGCCUGGGGAGUACGGCCGCAAGGUUAAAACUCAAAUGAAUUGACGGGGGCCCGCACAAGCGG